Molecule: long non-coding RNA, 330 nt
Organism: Hemicordylus capensis (graceful crag lizard)
Lineage: Eukaryota; Metazoa; Chordata; Lepidosauria; Squamata; Cordylidae
Exons: 3
Source: RefSeq, a predicted model, not a curated record
GCAGGAGCAGGGGGAGAGAAGAGCUGUUCCAAUUCCAGGGAGGCCAGCAGAGCCAGGUUUUAAAAGGGGAAACAGUCAAGGAUGCUGAGGAGGAAACCCCAUGGAUGGAGAGCUUACCUAUUGUGGAACAGCAGAAGACUGCCGGAGAGCCAUUGCCCUCUUCAGAUGGGGAGGAGUCCAGACCAAGCAGCAGACCGUUCCAGCUCCCUGCUCUUGAGUACUUUGCACCUGUUUGCUCCUGGGAUCUUGACCCUGUGCCUGGCUAUCAACGUGUGACUCUUUUCAGAGCCCCCUGGACUACGGAAUUGGCAACCGACCCCUCUCCUGGCA